GCGACCCCMGGUCAGGCGGGACUACCCGCUKAGUUUAAGCAUAU
This 44-nucleotide ribosomal RNA is filed under the name Jarava ichu. Its description in RNAcentral is "partial 28S ribosomal RNA". The record is from RNAcentral. Lineage: Eukaryota; Viridiplantae; Streptophyta; Magnoliopsida; Poales; Poaceae.